UUAGCUUGCUAACUUGAGACCGGCGCACGGGUGCGUAACGCGUAUGCAAUCUACCUUGUACAGGGGGAUAGCCCAGAGAAAUUUGGAUUAAUACCCCAUGGUGUUAUGUUGUGGCAUCACAUUAUAACUAAAGUUCCAACGGUACAAGAUGAGCAUGCGUCCCAUUAGCUAGUUGGUGUGGUAACGGCAUACCAAGGCAAUGAUGGGUAGGGGUCCUGAGAGGGAGAUCCCCCACACUGGUACUGAGACACGGACCAGACUCCUACGGGAGGCAGCAGUGAGGAAUAUUGGUCAAUGGGCGCAAGCCUGAACCAGCCAUGCCGCGUGCAGGAUGACGGUCCUAUGGAUUGUAAACUGCUUUUAUACGGGAAGAAACACUCCUACGUGUAGGAACUUGACGGUACCGUAAGAAUAAGGAUCGGCUAACUCCGUGCCAGCAGCCGCGGUAAUACGGAGGAUCCAAGCGUUAUCCGGAAUCAUUGGGUUUAAAGGGUCCGUAGGCGGUCUUAUAAGUCAGUGGUGAAAGCCCAUCGCUUAACGAUGGAACGGCCAU
RNAcentral lists this ribosomal RNA (553 nucleotides) under uncultured Flavobacterium sp. Its description in RNAcentral is "bacterial SSU rRNA". It matches the Rfam family "Bacterial small subunit ribosomal RNA", at positions 75 to 627 of the family's 1533-position model. Lineage: Bacteria; Pseudomonadati; Bacteroidota; Flavobacteriia; Flavobacteriales; Flavobacteriaceae. The record is from RNAcentral.